CAAUGUUUCCUAUCUGUCCUAUCCAUAUCUGUAAACUUUGUAAAAUAGAAAAAUAUUUACGGAUACUGGUUGUUAACGAGUAGAUAGAAUUAACAAUAUUCACAAAUAUGUUUAAUAUGUUUUAUAACAAUAACAUUUAAGCAACAAUUGUUUCUUCAAUCACAGUUUCAAAGGAUUACAUGCAAGAGUAUACUCUUUGACGUAACUAAUUUCAACAGCAAUCACAUUUACUACUGUCAUCCUCUCAACCAAAUCAAGUGUCUCAACCAUAGGCCUAUAUUAAGAAAUUUAUUGAUUAUAAUGGUUUCAACAAAAACAUUAAUAUUUGAAUAAAUUCCAAAUCCAAUAUCUUCCUUACAAGCCACUAUUGUAUUAAUUUAUACAAUUAUUUAGUUUUAAUUUGUAAUUAUUUUAUAUAGAUUAUAUAUUUUUAUUGUGCACUGUUCGUGUUAUUUUCAUUUUAUGCAGUUUUUAAACUUAGUAUCUAAUGAGGAAACUGAAUCCAACAAUACACCUCUUCUGUGACCAAAUUACCUGUUUUUAAACAAUUUUCUUAUGUGUUAUACCUGUAUUUUCAGAAAUCUUGGUGUCGGUGUUUCUUCGUUUUCCUCUCGGAUCGGCGGCAUAAUGGCACCUUUUAUACUGUUGUUGGAUCAAUACGUGGGAUUUCUGCCUCUGGUAAUUCUUGGGAUAUUUUCUAUCAUAGCGGGCUUGUGUGUUCUACUCCUUCCCGAGACGUUAGGUAGGAGACAACCAAUGACAAUAGAGGAGGUCGAGAUGGGCGGAAGGCUUAGACAAGAACCAACCACAGAAAACCAUAAUCUGUGAAUAUCAACAUGUUAAAUUGGGUCUUUAUAAGAAAAGGCAUUUUAUGGAAUCCAGUCGAAGGAGGUGGGGGGAGAUACUCUACCGAAUAAUAGUCUUGUCUAUCUACUGUUCCAAUGUGAAGAGUUGAUUUAUGGUAGAGCUGCAGUUGGCAGGAUUUGGCCAAAAGUAUGGAUUAAUAUGUAUGAUAGGCAUGAGAGUCAGAGUCUUAAGUAAACACAUUUUUGUUGUUGUUUGUUUUGUU
Long non-coding RNA from Anneissia japonica, 1069 nucleotides. RefSeq lists it as uncharacterized. NCBI's taxonomy places the organism in Eukaryota, Metazoa, Echinodermata, Crinoidea, Comatulida, Comatulidae. The record is from RefSeq and is a predicted model, not a curated record. The transcript is spliced from 2 exons.